AGGCCCUGCAAAGAAAACAGCAAAGUCAAAAUCCUGAAAGGGUAGCGAGUUUCCUCCUACUCUCAGGUUUACAGCUACCAACUGCUGGAUUAUUUUAAGUAACUUAAACGGAUUUUUGUGAACUUAAUCCUGAAAGCACUGUAUGGGACUUUUGUCUAUUCUUCCGAGUCUCACCACGUUAACCUGAGCAAAGGAACUCAAGGGAAAAUAUGCUUGUGAGACUAGACCUUGUUCAUUCACAAUUCGGCAAAAAUACAUCUGGCUAAUUUUCCUGCUGUGGUCAUGUUAACUAUAGAUGUACUUUAUCAGCUUAAUUUCAAGAGCCUGUUUUAGGACAAGGACUAUUUGGAGAAGAUAAAGCCAUCUUUAGUAUAUCAAACAUGUGCAAUCCUAUUCCAUCCACGUCCUGUGUCUGGGACUGGAAGCAGGUCUGGAGCGAUAUCCCACUUUACACUGCCUCUCACCUGCACUCUGACCACACAUCCAUUUGCCAGGGCUGUUGCCGCUAUUUCCAACUCACCAAGGAAGCACCAUGCAUAUUUACUUUAAAUCAACCUGACUCAAAAAUAUUUUUCUUUCUUCUCUGUUCCCUGCAUGGUGAAUCUCUCUCCCUGCCUCAAAUAAUGCUUCAGAUCCAUGCUGAUCACAGUUCCUGAUCUGUGCCAAGCGGACUUGUCAGAAAUGUGGCCAUCUUCAACUCAUGCCAAGAACCUCUUAAAAAUACGAUCCCUAGCAUACUAGACUAGAAACAUCCUGCACACGCUUCCCAAAUAUUACGUGAAAAGCUACUUAAUUUUCUAAAAUUUUCUUCACACAAAACCAUUUCUUUAAUGAGUUGUGGUACAUUUACAGCAAAUAAUUGCUUUCUAUUUGUUGGACAAAGUAACUGGAAUGAAGAAGAGAGAAAUCACAUUCAUUCCAUUUAUCACUUGAGGUACCAAACUUUUGGGUAGGAGGAGCAUAAUUUUAUAGCUGGGAUGCUUAAUGUGACAUCGUAACAUGACAUUAAGCUGUGUACCUUCGUAACUGAACCUAUGAGGGAAUCAGCUACAAGAUACCAAUCUGUAAUUCAGUUCUACAAGGUGAAAAAAGCAUGUGACUGAUCUAAGAAAGCACAAAAGCACAUCUUGAAAUUGACAGCACAAUAAUUCAUAUCUGUCAAUACAAUAUCCAGCUUAAAUUAAAGACAAAUUUGCUUGGUACGUUCUCAGCAUUAUUCUGCAAUAUUCUAUAUGACAAGCACGCUACUAAAUGCCACUUUUUUUAAAAUUAUACACAUGAAUACUAGCAUAGUUAAAAUUAAUUGCCAAGAAUAAUGGAACUGAAGUAAUGCAAACUUGUCUUAUAAAAAUCACUUUUUUUUUUUUUUUUUUAUCAGCGUGACAGACUUUUCAUUAACCCAAGCAAGUGCUAUGUUGUCUAUCUCUUUGGCAACUACAAAGAGUUACAAAGAUAAAAGCUCUAAUAAAAACAUAAAUGGUUGUAAA
Molecule: long non-coding RNA, 1487 nt
Organism: Dromaius novaehollandiae (emu)
Lineage: Eukaryota; Metazoa; Chordata; Aves; Casuariiformes; Dromaiidae
Exons: 2
Source: RefSeq, a predicted model, not a curated record